This 93-nucleotide ribosomal RNA is filed under the name Draconibacterium sp. Its description in RNAcentral is "partial 23S ribosomal RNA". It matches the Rfam family "Bacterial large subunit ribosomal RNA", at positions 2831 to 2925 of the family's 2925-position model. Lineage: Bacteria; Pseudomonadati; Bacteroidota; Bacteroidia; Marinilabiliales; Prolixibacteraceae. The record is from RNAcentral.
AGGGCCGUAGGAGACUACUACGUUGAUAGGCUGCAGGUGUAAAGUCAGUAAUGGCAAAGCCGAGCAGUACUAAUUGCCCAAAGACUUUCUAAA